Molecule: ribosomal RNA, 407 nt
Filed under: uncultured bacterium
Lineage: Bacteria
Description: partial 16S ribosomal RNA
Rfam family: Bacterial small subunit ribosomal RNA
Source: RNAcentral
GACGAACGCUGGCGGCGUGCCUAAUACAUGCAAGUAGAACGCAGUUGCGAAAGGGUGAGUAACGCGUAGGUAACUGCCUAAUAGCGGGGGAUAACUAUUGGAAACGAUAGCUAAUACCGCAUACUGUGAGAUGGAACUGCGUUGUAUUAGCUAGUUGGGGGGGAAAAGGCUCACAAAGGCGACGGUCAAUAGCCGACCUGAGAGGAUGAUCGGCCACACUUGUACUGAGACACGGCCCAGACUCCUACGGGAGGCAGCAGUGGGGAGUCUUCGGCAAUGGACGGAAGUCUGACCGAGCAACGCCGCGUGAGUGAAGAAGGUUUUCGGAUCGUAAAACUCUUUUAUUAGAGAAGCGGUAUCUAACCAGAAAGCCACGGCUAACUACGUGCCAGCCGCCGCGGUAAUAC